GUACCUGCACAAUCAAGGUUGUGUGAGAGACAGAAAUGAGACGUGCUCGUGUAACGGCGACGGGGGGGGAUUGAUAAGUAGCAUUAAAAAGUAAACUGUGAGUAAAACCUACCAGCUAACUAGCCAACACAGAAGAGUAAAGUAGAAGCACACCGGAAGUUUGGAAGUCCGGUGUUGUCUUUUCCAGCUGUCUCGGUCCGGUCGUAUGGAAAUAGUGAGAAACACCCCUGGAGAUCAUUCCUACUGAUGACGAGCCUCCCAGUAAAACUGUACUUGGAACCUGGAGCCCAGAGUUGAGUCAUCGAAUAUUCCACCUGGUGGUAGGGUGGUGCAAGUCGCCAGGACUCCCACACACCCACAAAGAGUGCCCACUAUUCCAGAAAACUGUCACCGGACAGUCACAGACAACGCUUGGGGACAACGGACAUUAAAAAGACUGAAAAUGAUCACAGAUAAUAGACUUUAUUGGCUUUUCAUACACUAAAGACUUAUUUCAAAGGGCCCCUUUUCUUUAUAUUUUUAAUCUUUUAAUGAACCUGUUAUUUACAUGCUGUGAAUUACUACCUGCAAGUUCAUUUCACUAAAGGUUUUAAAUUGCAACUUA
Long non-coding RNA from Seriola aureovittata, 604 nucleotides. RefSeq lists it as uncharacterized. The record is from RefSeq and is a predicted model, not a curated record. NCBI's taxonomy places the organism in Eukaryota, Metazoa, Chordata, Actinopteri, Carangiformes, Carangidae. The transcript has 2 exons.